UGCUGUGGCGGUGGCUGUGCCGGGGCCUGGGCUCGGGGUCGGGGCUGUGUGCUCGCGGCCUCUGGGCUCAAGGCAGCGGGAGGCGGCGGCACCGGGAGCAGUGUGCUGUGGUCUGGUUUCCUGCCCCAGACUCGGAGUCUGUGUCCAUCACGGAAGGCUGUCCGGAACUUUUCCAGCUCCUCUAUCUUCACGUCAGACACCAACGGAGUCCUGUAGCUCA
Long non-coding RNA from Callorhinchus milii (elephant shark), 220 nucleotides. RefSeq lists it as uncharacterized. NCBI's taxonomy places the organism in Eukaryota, Metazoa, Chordata, Chondrichthyes, Chimaeriformes, Callorhinchidae. The record is from RefSeq and is a predicted model, not a curated record. The transcript is spliced from 3 exons.